Molecule: ribosomal RNA, 235 nt
Filed under: uncultured bacterium
Lineage: Bacteria
Description: partial 16S ribosomal RNA
Rfam family: Bacterial small subunit ribosomal RNA
Source: RNAcentral
UGUUCGGAAUUACUGGGCGUAAAGGGCUCGUAGGCGGCCAACUAAGUCAGACGUGAAAUCCCUCGGCUUAACCGGGGAACUGCGUCUGAUACUGGAUGGCUUGAGAUUGGGAGAGGGAUGCGGAAUUCCAGGUGUAGCGGUGAAAUGCGUAGAUAUCUGGAGGAACACCGGUGGCGAAGGCGGCAUCCUGGACCAACACUGACGCUGAGGAGCGAAAGCCAGGGGAGCAAACGGG